CGGUAUGGAUAAGAAGUAUACUUGCUGGAUAUGAUAUAGGGAGGAUGAUCCAAAUGAAGUGGUGCGCGAUGAUGAUGAUAUUGAAAAUGAUAAUGAUGCUGGUGGAUUUAUCGAACAUAGUGAUAUAGGAGAAUUGUUAGAUGAUUUACAUCAAGGUGCUUGUUCAAAUAUAUGCAUGAGUACUACUGUAUCUGAAAAUAAUUCUGAUCAUGAACAUAAUAUCCAGCUUG
RNAcentral lists this long non-coding RNA (230 nucleotides) under Elaeis guineensis (African oil palm). RNAcentral's name for it is "long non-coding RNA (EGUI_LNC012183)". The record is from RNAcentral. Lineage: Eukaryota; Viridiplantae; Streptophyta; Magnoliopsida; Arecales; Arecaceae.